CUCGGUUUGUGAUGUGAAAAUUGGUUUUCCAAGUACGGAGGCCCAGUGAGGACUUUGUUCGUGGCCUGAGUAAAGAACGUUACAUGUAAUUCGAAGUAGUGCACUGCAAAGUGCUGCUAUUCGUGAUACGAAGUAUUGCCUUGGGCAAGAGCUGAGUGAGUUAUGUCAGGAGCUCAACGAUGCGCACUUGUGUAGAGUGGAAACGAUCAAUAAAUUUAUAUGCCAUGUGGGAGAGAACAGCUUCUCCCCAGAGCAGGAAGUUGUCCAGACAUUGCCUGGAAAAUAGUAUUAUUAUAAUUAUUUUAAUACUAUUAUUCCACUACCAAAACUUCAGAGGCUAAACAACGGCAGCUGCCGCCUUGCUAGCAACACAAUGAAGCUGCCUCUUGCGGGGCAGGAUAGCUUCCAGUGCUCUCAAAUCAACUUGAAGGCCCUGGACGCGCGUGGUUUUGAUUGUGCCAAGCGACACCUGACUGUUCAGUGCCCAAGGUGUGCCGUAUGAAUGUCAGCACAAACGAUGCGUUGUCCUUGCGCGAGGCGAGUCGGGAACGUUCGCAGAUACAUGGCUAAGGCUGGACAUAGCUUCAAGUUAGUUCUCGGAUCGCUCUAGCCUGCAGAGUAUAGAAAGUGACAGCAACGUCUGUGGGAACUACAUGACUGUAGUUUACUCAACUCGUCUGCUGUGUGGUGGUAGCAGAUUUCGUGCCGGAAUGGUCCAUUGGACAGAGACAGUGCUUGCUAGGAGCUGGAAUUUAUCUUCAGUGACUUUGGUCGAGUUGGAGCAAUGGAGCAAUUCCCAAUAUCAGACGAAGAGAAGCAGGAAGAGUAUCUUGAUGACUCCGUGAAUGAUGUAGAUAGAGGGAGUUGUGGGAUACUCCUGAUCAUCGUUUCAAUCCUAUUCGUGCUGACCGGCGCGGCCAACACUGCCACCGGCGCCAUCACAGAGUCCAUGGCCUUGGUUGGAAUCGGCAUUGCCUUUCUAGUAGCCAGUAUUGUAAUGCUUGUGGCUGGCUGCUGCAUCAAGAAAACUGCAGGACACGGCGCGAGAAGAACAUCUCUGACCCAUAUCGCUUCCAGUAUGGCCUACCAAGACUGCUCCAAUUCCCCACAGGUGCUCGAUCCGGUGCACAUUAACGUAGCGCUGCAGAGGAAGCGCUUAUCGACAGUGAGUGAGCUCAAUGCUGAUUUACUUCCCACCAUCACCAACCCCUUGUACCUGACCGAGGAGAGAAACCUUGCAGAGAUGCCCCACGCCAGGGGUCCACAGCUGACCUAUCUACAACAGGCCAUACUUCCUAAAGUAGUAGGAACAGACAUUUCUCCGGCCAACAGCAGUAUUACUCCGUGCAUGAUUGCCGAACCUACAGUCGUACCGGGUACUGCUUGCGCCGUAUCCAGUACUCUUAGAACCCCCGAUGAACAUAGCACUAGAUGUGCCAGUCCCAGUCCAAGCGAAUCAGAGUUAUAGCAUCCUGACUUUCACUGUUUGCGAAUGAACUGAGAAUGUAAGCUCUACACCACACGAGUACACGUUGCAUUUACGGAGAGAAUAAAACUGACAAUUCCUAUUGCAACUCCUCAGCUUGAUCUUUAUCUUUGAUUCAUAAGAAAAUUUAAUUCGGAAGGUGAC
Molecule: long non-coding RNA, 1630 nt
Organism: Sycon ciliatum
Lineage: Eukaryota; Metazoa; Porifera; Calcarea; Leucosolenida; Sycettidae
Exons: 4
Source: RefSeq, a predicted model, not a curated record